AAAAAUUGACACCGUAACUUCGGGAGAAGGUGUGCCGCUGGCGGUUAGUGACUUCGCGUCACGAAGCUGUCGGUGGUCGCAGUGAAAUGGCGGAUGUGACUGUUUACUAAAAACACAGGACUCUGCGAAGUCGUGAGACGACGUAUAGGGUCUGAUGCCUGCCCGGUGCUGGAAGGUUAAGGGGAUAUGUCAGCGCAAGCGAAGCAUUGAACCGAAGCCCCAGUAAACGGCGGCCGUAACGAUAACGGUCCUAAGGUAGCGAAAUUCCUUGUCGGGUAAGUUCCGACCUGCACGAGGGCAUAACAACAUCCGCACUGUCUCGACCAGGGACUCAGCGAAAUUACAUUGGGGGUGAAGAUGCCCUCUACCCGCGGAAAGACGGAAAGACCCCAUGAACCUUUACUGCAACUUGGCAGUGAUUUUCGGGUUGUUCUGCGUAGGAUAGGUGGGAGGCUUUGAAGCCGGGCUUCCGGGUUCGGCAGAGCCAACGUUGAAAUACCACCCUGAAUAAUCUGGAAAUCUAACCUGCGCCCAUGAUCUGGGCGAGGGACACUGCCUGGUGGGCAGUUUGACUGGGGCGGUCGCCUCCUAAAUUGUAACGGAGGCGUGCGACGGUUCCCUCAGGCUGAUUGGAAACCAGCCGUAGAGUGCAAACGCAUAAGGGAGCUUUACUGCGAGACUGACAAGUCGAACAGUUGCGAAAGCAGGUGUUAGUGAUCCGGUGGUACCACAUGGAAGGGCCAUCGCUCAUCGGAUAAAAGGUACUCUGGGGAUAACAGGCUGAUCGCGCCUGAGAGUUCACAUCGGCGGCGCGGUUUGGCACCUCGAUGUCGGCUCAUCGCAUCCUGGGGCUGGAGCAGGUCCCAAGGGUUUGGCUGUUCGCCAAUUAAAGCGGUACGCGAGCUGGGUUUAAAACGUCGUGAGACAGUUUGGUCCCUAUCUUCCGUGGGCGCAGGACACUUGAGAGGAGCUAUCCAUAGUACGAGAGGACCUGGAUGGACGAACCUCUGGUGCUCCGGUUGUCACGCCAGUGGCAUAGCCGGGUAGCCAUGUUCGGAACAGAUAACCGCUGAAGGCAUAUAAGCGGGAAGCUGGCCUCAAGACUAGGUGUCCCUGACGCAAGUCACUAAAGGCCCCUCGAAGACUACGAGGUUGAUAGGCUCGGUGUGGAAGCGCUGCGAGGCGUGGAGCUAACGAGUACUAAUAGGCCGUGCGACUUGACCCC
RNAcentral lists this ribosomal RNA (1225 nucleotides) under metagenome. RNAcentral's name for it is "bacterial LSU rRNA". It matches the Rfam family "Bacterial large subunit ribosomal RNA", at positions 1717 to 2925 of the family's 2925-position model. The record is from RNAcentral.